Molecule: ribosomal RNA, 448 nt
Filed under: uncultured bacterium
Lineage: Bacteria
Description: partial 16S ribosomal RNA
Rfam family: Bacterial small subunit ribosomal RNA
Source: RNAcentral
UCCAGACUCCUACGGGAGGCAGCAGUGGGGGAUAUUGCACAAUGGGGGGAACCCUGAUGCAGCGACGCCGCGUGGGUGAAGGAGCGUUUCGGCGCGUAAAGCCCUAUCGGCAGGGAAGAAGGAGGACGGUACCUGACUAAGAAGCCCCGGCUAACUACGUGCCAGCAGCCGCGGUAAUACGUAGGGGGCAAGCGUUAUCCGGAUUUACUGGGUGUAAAGGGGGCGCAGACGGCAGCGCAAGCCAGGAGUGAAAGCCCGGGGCCCAACCCCGGGACUGCUCUUGGAACUGCGCGGCUGGAGUGCAGGAGGGGCAGGCGGAAUUCCUGGUGUAGCGGUGAAAUGCGUAGAUAUCAGGAGGAACACCGGUGGCGAAGGCGGCCUGCUGGACUGCGACUGACGUUGAGGCCCGAAAGCGUGGGGAGCAAACAGGAUUAGAUACCCCCGUAAU